AAACUUUAACAGAACCCUUCGGGGCGAAGCAUAAAGUGGAUUAGCGGCGGACGGGUGAGUAACACGUGAGUAACCUGCCUUAGACAUUGGGAUAGCCUCGGGAAACCGGGAUUAAUACCAAAUAAAAUCAUAAUGACACAUGUCAUAACGAUCAAAACUCCGGUGGUCUAAGAUGGACUCGCGUCCCAUUAGCUAGUUGGUAGAGUAAAAGCCUACCAAGGCGACGAUGGGUAGCCGGCCUGAGAGGGUGAACGGCCACAUUGGAACUGAGAAACGGUCCAAACUCCUACGGGAGGCAGCAGUGGGGAAUAUUGCACAAUGGAGGGAACUCUGAUGCAGCGACGCCGCGUGAACGAAGAAGGCUUUCGAGUCGUAAAGUUCUUUUAUAUGGGAAGAUAAUGACGGUACCAUAAGUAAAAAGCCCCGGCUAACUAC
Molecule: ribosomal RNA, 435 nt
Filed under: uncultured Peptoniphilus sp.
Lineage: Bacteria; Bacillati; Bacillota; Tissierellia; Tissierellales; Peptoniphilaceae
Description: bacterial SSU rRNA
Rfam family: Bacterial small subunit ribosomal RNA
Source: RNAcentral